Molecule: ribosomal RNA, 782 nt
Filed under: uncultured Neocallimastigales
Lineage: Eukaryota; Fungi; Neocallimastigomycota; Neocallimastigomycetes; Neocallimastigales
Description: partial large subunit ribosomal RNA
Rfam family: Eukaryotic large subunit ribosomal RNA
Source: RNAcentral
CGUCUAUAUACGUAUAGCAUAUCAAUAAGCGGAGGAAAAGAAACUAACUAGGAUUCCCUUAGUAACGGCGAGUGAAGCGGGAAGAGCUCAAAUUUGAAAUCUUCAAGGUUCUACCUUGACGAAUUGUAGUUUAAAGAAGUGUUUUCUGUUGGAGUUUUGGUAAAAGUUCUUUGGAAUAGGACAUCAUAGAGGGUGAGAAUCCCGUAUUUGACCAUUAUCUUCCAACUGUGUGAUACACUUUCAAAGAGUCGGAUUGUUUGGGAAUGCAGUCCAAAAUGGGUGGUAAAUUUCAUCUAAAGCUAAAUAUUGGCGAGAGACCGAUAGCGAACAAGUACCGUGAGGGAAUGAUGAAAAGAACUUUGAAAAGAGAGUUAAACAGUACGUGAAAUUGUCAAAAGGGAAGCGUUUGACACCAGUGUUGUUUUUCCGAAAAUCAAUUACUGAAUGGCUUGAUUUUUAGAAGUUCAUGACCUUCAAUCGCUUGCUUGCUCUCUUUAUGUACUUUCGUAAUGCACUUUUCGGUUAACAAGUCAACAUCAAUUUCUUUUGUUGUAAAAGGGUAAUGAGGAAGGUGGCUUUACUUUCGGAGUAAAGUGUUUAUAGCCUUUUACCUCUGCAAUCGGAGAGAUUGAGGUCUGCAGCGUAGAUCCUUCGGGGUUAGAUACAGUUUGUGCUAAGUUAUAGCUUUUCAUAGACAACUUGUUGACUAUGUUUAGUCUUGUAGCUUACUCGCUUAUGGCUAUUUUACCUACGCUUAGGAUGUUGAUAUGCAUGACUGAUAU